RNAcentral lists this ribosomal RNA (458 nucleotides) under uncultured bacterium. RNAcentral describes it as "bacterial SSU rRNA". It matches the Rfam family "Bacterial small subunit ribosomal RNA", at positions 328 to 803 of the family's 1533-position model. The record is from RNAcentral.
CUACGGAACUCCUACGGGAGGCAGCAGUGGGGAAUAUUGGACAAUGGGCGCAAGCCUGAUCCAGCCAUGCCGCGUGAGUGAUGAAGGCCUUAGGGUUGUAAAGCUCUUUCACCGAUGAAGAUAAUGACGGUAGCCGGAGAAGAAGCCCCGGCUAACUUCGUGCCAGCAGCCGCGGUAAUACGAAGGGGGCUAGCGUUGUUCGGAAUUACUGGGCGUAAAGCGCACGUAGGCGGAUAUUUAAGUCAGGGGUGAAAUCCCGCAGCUCAACUGCGGAACUGCCUUUGAUACUGGGUAUCUUGAGUAUGGAAGAGGUUAGUGGAAUUGCGAGUGUAGAGGUGAAAUUCGUAGAUAUUCGCAGGAACACCAGUGGCGAAGGCGGCUAACUGGUCCAUAACUGACGCUGAGGUGCGAAAGCGUGGGGAGCAAACAGGAUUAGAAACCCUGGUAGUCCUCUUCGA